CGCAUGCGCGGCCUGCCUGUCAGUAACCACGUGAUGGACCCGGAAGCCCGAGGGCAGAUGCUAAAUGAUGGCCAUUUGACAUUUGCGUGUGUUCACUAUGGAUAGUUUUACCAAGUACAUUGAUUUGGGCCCUUACAGCUUACAAAGUAAAGAUAACACUUACUCCUCCAAGAAAUUGAUUUCAGCUAAGCAAAACAUUGAUACAGGGCUAUAAUGGAAGUGUUGGACUCAUAAACGUUUUAUGAAAUCAGUGUGUGUGUAUUACAGAAAUCAGAAAUGAGAAGUAAGAACAUGUCUGGGAGAGUGUGACAUAAGAAAAAUAACUUGUAGGCGUAUUUAACAGACAGCAGCAGUUCUCAGGAUUCCCCAUGUUAGAGCCUUCCUUCCUGUCCUCUGAGAAAUGAAAAUGAAAUCCAAAGACCCCCAACUGACUACACGAACCCCCUACUGGCUAAGGAGAUCCCAGGGUUGCCUUGAAGGCAGUUCUCAGCCAUGACAGAUGGGAGUUUCGGCCCAAUUGACCAGUAUUCCUUACUGAUAAGAGACACUGACCAUGGAGUGGUUCUGUCUCCCUCUGUUGCCGAGGCUGGACUGUACUGCCGUGAU
RNAcentral lists this long non-coding RNA (606 nucleotides) under Homo sapiens (human). Its description in RNAcentral is "HSALNT0392268". The record is from RNAcentral. Lineage: Eukaryota; Metazoa; Chordata; Mammalia; Primates; Hominidae.